Molecule: transfer RNA, 68 nt
Filed under: Marmota monax (woodchuck)
Lineage: Eukaryota; Metazoa; Chordata; Mammalia; Rodentia; Sciuridae
Description: tRNA.Ala
Source: RNAcentral
GGAUUGUGGCUCAGUGAUAGGGCACUUGCCUAGCGUGGAUGAGGCACUGGGUUCAAACCUCAGCACCA